AGUCAUGGUUAUUUAUUGAUGGAAAAUCAGAAGGAGACAGUCUUCAAAAUGACCAGUCAACUGAAGAAGCCAGACUGCGAACAUCUGUAUCUUCCCAUUUGAAAACCUCACCUGUUGCUUGCUCCUACAGAGUACCUGGAAACACUGACCACUCACUUUGCUGAUUGAAGAUUUCCCAGUCAGCUCUGCUGGAAGCCUGGGAUCAUGGAGAAGGAGACAGACUGCAGCACUGUGCUGCAAGUAUGGGAAGAAUGGAAUUAGUUUUGUGGAGGCUGCAAGGAGCGAGCAGUCUGGAAGAAGCUGUGCAGCAGCACCAAGAUGGCUUUGGACUCUGUGAGUACCAAGGUGCGUGGUCACACCUGAUCAGGGCUGUGAGAUUACUGUGAGAUUUGGGUAAGAUGAUCAGGGUUGCAGAGGGAAAAUCUGAAUUACUGGUAACUGUGUUGUGAUAAGAAAGGAGGUUGCACAAGGAGGAUGGUAAGCUUGGGGGGCACCUAACAAGGCAAAAGGGAGAGAAAAUAAUGCUUUAUUUCUAUUUCUUUAACUAGUAAUUGGCUUACUUUCUCCUUUAGAUUGAGUACUUUGUGUAAGAGAAAGCACUGACUGCAGCGUUGAAACACUGUGUUUACACUGCAUUAAUGUAUUAUUACAGACAUUGUGUGACAUGAUUGGAGAGAGGAUGGACUAUCAACAGGUAGCCAGAAGCCUGGGGGGAGUUUCUUAAGAUUUGUGUGCUCCCGUGCCCAUCUCCUCAAAUCCAACCCAGUCUGCUUUGGGGGGAAAAAAACCACCAACCUGUGACUGUGCUCCAUUUAUGAAAAAAAUAGUUAAAUCAGGACAAAAAUAUAA
Molecule: long non-coding RNA, 849 nt
Organism: Haemorhous mexicanus (house finch)
Lineage: Eukaryota; Metazoa; Chordata; Aves; Passeriformes; Fringillidae
Exons: 3
Source: RefSeq, a predicted model, not a curated record